GACGUAGGGCGCGAGCGUUGUCCGGAUUUAUUGGGCGUAAAGAGCUCGUAGGCGGCUUGUCACGUCGGGUGUGAAAGCCCGGGGCUUAACCCCGGGUCUGCAUUCGAUACGGGCAGGCUAGAGUGUGGUAGGGGAGAUCGGAAUUCCUGGUGUAGCGGUGAAAUGCGCGGAUAUCAGGAGGAACACCGGUGGCGAAGGCGGAUCUCUGGGCCAUUACUGACGCUGAGGAGCGAAAGCAUGGGGAGCGAACAGG
RNAcentral lists this ribosomal RNA (253 nucleotides) under uncultured bacterium. RNAcentral's name for it is "partial 16S ribosomal RNA". It matches the Rfam family "Bacterial small subunit ribosomal RNA", at positions 524 to 776 of the family's 1533-position model. The record is from RNAcentral.